GCCCUUGGACAGCUUCUGCUAUGGCCGCAUCUCCUCCUUCGGUGCCUUUGACAGCAGCACCUUCCGCCUCUCCGUGGAGGAUCGAGACCUGCUCUUUGAGACCUCCCAGGUGGAUGAGAUCGCCCAGCUCCUCAACACGUACCUCGCCUCUGCGGGUGCCCAGCGGCUGCCCCGGCCCCAGGAGCCUCCCACCGGUCGCCCCACCUCGGAGCCCACUGUGCUGCCCCAGGGGCUCUGCCCUGCAGCCGGGCCCUGGCAGCACCAGCCCCCAGUGGGUUCCUCCCACAGCUAGCCCAGCAGCUGAUGUGGCCACGCAGGUGCUCCAAUGGCCGGCGUGGGAGGGCAGCCAAGCCUGGCAGCGAGUGGCAGGUCUGUGCUGGCCCCCAGCUGCUCCAGAGAGCAGGGGGCCAGGGGGUGGUGCUCCCCCCACUGCCAUUGCCUUUCUGGCUAUUCCUUAAUUUAUUUUGAGACGCCUGCGUGCCCCAUGUCUCCCAGCACUUUCCCUGGUGGGCAGCGGGGCCGCCCCGCUGCGGUUCCCUUCACUGCCCCCAGGCCUGUCCCCGUCCCCUAUACCCUGGUGCCUUUGCCUGCAGCACUUGUGUUGCCUGGCCACUCUGCUCGUGCCCCGGGGGCUUUGCCCAGAGCAGAGGGUACCAGGCAGUAGUGCUGUGCCAUCAUCUGUCUGUCCGUCCUCUGGACCCACCCCUUCGGGAAAGCUGCGGGCGGCUUUUGGCCAAGCUGCCCCGGGGACCCGCGGGCUCCUCCUGCACGAGUGGCUGGGCUCUGAGGUGUCCCUGUGGCCAGGUUUAUGUCACAGGGGUGGCUGGUGGAGUGGCAGCUGGUACGGCUGGGGCUCAGCCCCUCAGUAUUGCCUCUGUAGAGUUUGUUGGUUCUGUCUUGGGAUGGGGGGGGUUGGUUGGUUGUUUUUCUAAAUAAAUGCACAAAGGAAAGGCUG
Cyanistes caeruleus (blue tit) is the source of this 955-nucleotide non-coding RNA. The record is from RefSeq and is a predicted model, not a curated record. Lineage: Eukaryota; Metazoa; Chordata; Aves; Passeriformes; Paridae.